CCCAAAAUGACUGAAGUGGAAAAUACUAGUGUAGAAAGCUAAGAGCAAUCAUUAUUAAUAUGAACAAUAUUUGGAUUUAUGGCAGUUUAUAACAGCACAGAUGUCAGGUAAUCGAGAAAAAUGUUACUCCAUGCUUCCAUUGUAGGAUGACUCUACGACCAAAACAGAGCUACAUGGAUCAUAUGAAACAUGAUGGGGAGAUGAGAAGAGAGGAGAGGAGAAAAGAGGAGAGGAGAGGAGAGGAGAGGAGAAGAGAAGAGAAGAGAGGAGAGGAGAGGAGAGGAGAGGAGAGGAGAGGAGAGGAGAGGAGAGGAGAGGAGAGAGGAGAGGAGAGGAGGGGAGGGGGGAGGGGAGGGGAAAGGAGAGAAGAGGGGAGGGGAGGGGGGGCGAAAGAGGAGAGGAGAGGAGAGGAGAGAAGAGAAGAGAAGAGAAGAGAAGAGAAGAGAAGAGAAGAGAAGAGAAGAGAAGAGAAGAGAGGAGAGAAGAGGAGGGGAGGGGGGAGGGGAGAGGAGAGGAGAGAAGAGGAGAGGGGAGGGGAGAGGGGGGGCGAAAGAGGAGAGGAGAGGAGAGGAGAGGAGAGAGGAGAGGAGAGGAGGGGAGGGGGGAGGGGAGGGGAGAGAAGAGAAGAGGAGAGGGGAGGGGGGGGCGAAAAGAGGAGAGGAGAGGAGAGAGGAGAGGAGAGGAGGGGAGGGGGGAGGGGAGAGGAGAGAAGGGGGGGGGCAAAAGAGGAGAGGAGAGGAGAGGAGAGGAGAGGAGAGGAGAGAAGAGAAGAGAAGAGAAGAGAGGAGAGGAGGGGAGAGGAGAGGAGAGGAGAGGAGGGGAGGGGGGAGGGGAGAGGAGAGGAGAGAAGAGGAGAGGGGAGGGGAGGGGAGAGGGGGGGCGAAAGAGGAGAGGAGAGGAGAGGAGAGGAGAGGAGAGGAGAGGAGGGGAGGGGGGCGAAAGAGGAGAGGAGAGGAGAGGAGAGAGGAGGGGAGAGGAGAGGAGAGGAGGGGGGGGGAGGGGAGGGGAGAAGAGAGGAGAGAAGAGGAGAGGGGAGGGGAGGGGAGGGGGGGGCAAAAGAGGAGAGGAGAGGAGAGGAGAGGAGAGGAGAGGAGAGGAGAGGAGAGGAGAGGAGAUACAACCACAUGAAACUGUCAGUGAAUCAUGUUUUGGUACCCAAAAAUUCUAGGAGCUACCAAUAAAUUAGCGCUCUGAGAGGAAAACAGUCUGGUCCUUGUAGGUGAAAGGGAAGUAUUUUACAGUCUAUUCUGGAUUUUAUGGGCAGCCAGUUGUCCUUCCUGUUAAAAAGGUAUGCAGAUUAAAGAUAGCUGAUAUGCAUGAUUUACAAUUAUGUUGGCCUAAUCACACAAGUUCCUUCAAAAUCUAUUUUUUAAGGUUGGACCACAAGAAAGAGAGACAGUCGCAAUUGGUGCACGUUUAAAAGGUGAGGACUGAUGGGAUACAUGGGUUCUUUUUCUAAUUGCACUGCUGAUU
RNAcentral lists this long non-coding RNA (1473 nucleotides) under Takifugu rubripes (torafugu). RNAcentral's name for it is "lncRNA (ENSTRUG00000031879.1)". The record is from RNAcentral. Lineage: Eukaryota; Metazoa; Chordata; Actinopteri; Tetraodontiformes; Tetraodontidae.